CCUGCCUGGAGCUCUGCUUUGCCUCCCUGCAUUUUCCUGCCAGCCCUGCCCUCACCAGGUUUGGUAAACCUCUGAGCAAGUGGUCCAGGAGGAAGGACUUUCCUGAGUGCUGCUCUCCCAGUACAGCAAGCAAACAGACAGAUUUUCCGGCACUCAGGGCAGCAUGGAGGUUCACAGCCUGGGAUGCGAUGUGUGCUGAAGCACCGGAUGCAGAAGUCAUGGCCACAGUCCAGUGAGAUGGGCUCUCGAAGCCUUUCCAGACAGAUGGAGCAGGUCCUGGCCAUCCUAACUGAGAACAACAGAACAGAGGGGAGAGUGCCCCAAGAGCAACCCUCAGGGAAUCCUGGAUCUGCCCAUGCCAGCCAUGCAACCAUGGGCGAGGUCCAAAGAAGAGACUGGGAGUAAGCGCCCUGGCUGGGGUUGGAGGCAGUCAUUCGUGAUGACUACCUCAUCGACAAGGUGCCCAGGGUCAGCACUCAGGAAACCCAUGGAACACCAGCCUUCUUGCUGCGGGUCUUCCUCAAGGGGGAACAGACUAUAACCCCAGCUGCUAGGAUAGUCAGGAAAGGGCGGUAGCUUCUGGCACCCAGGCAGCCAUUCUGCAGCUGAACAGAUGGUCAGGUUCUCAGAGGAUUCCUUGUGCUCUCCGAGCUGAGCAUCUGUAGC
This is a long non-coding RNA of Alexandromys fortis (reed vole), 666 nucleotides long. RefSeq lists it as uncharacterized. The record is from RefSeq and is a predicted model, not a curated record. The transcript has 3 exons. NCBI's taxonomy places the organism in Eukaryota, Metazoa, Chordata, Mammalia, Rodentia, Cricetidae.